RNAcentral lists this ribosomal RNA (301 nucleotides) under uncultured bacterium. RNAcentral's name for it is "partial 16S ribosomal RNA". It matches the Rfam family "Bacterial small subunit ribosomal RNA", at positions 509 to 807 of the family's 1533-position model. The record is from RNAcentral.
CAGCCGCCGCGAGAAUACAGAGGGUGCGAGCGUUAAUCGGAUUUACUGGGCGUAAAGCGUGCGUAGGCGGCUUCUUAAGUCGGAUGUGAAAUCCCUGAGCUUAACUUAGGAAUUGCAUUCGAUACUGGGAAGCUAGAGUAUGGGAGAGGAUGGUAGAAUUCCAGGUGUAGCGGUGAAAUGCGUAGAGAUCUGGAGGAAUACCGAUGGCGAAGGCAGCCAUCUGGCCUAAUACUGACGCUGAGGUACGAAAGCAUGGGGAGCAAACAGGAUUAGAUACCCCCGUAGUCCCUGUCUCUUAUAC